RNAcentral lists this ribosomal RNA (388 nucleotides) under uncultured prokaryote. RNAcentral's name for it is "partial 16S ribosomal RNA". The record is from RNAcentral.
CCCUACGGGGUGCACCAGGCAGGAUAAAAGGCAAUCGUCGCCCGAUUUUGGUGUGGGUCCUGUCAGAUACGGAGCCUAUAUAGGGCUGAAUAAACAGGGCAGCGAUGUUAUCCAGGGUCAUAAAGAAACCGAUUAAUGCUGCAUCAAGAUUGAACCGAUUUGCCAGGAAGAGUGGUACGAAGGAAUUGUAUACUGACCAGGCAACCAUAACCCCGAAAAAACCGAAACCAAGUAAAAAGGUCUUGCCAUAAUUCAAUUUCUGACUAUUCAUUUUUCUCCUCUGAUUAAAUUGAUGAAUUACCUGCCUCGAAUAUUGGUAGCUUAUAGAUUUUCAUCGUUUUCAGCAAUCUUGCUGGAAACAUAAUUCUCGAGGAAUUGGCGGGGGGGC